Molecule: ribosomal RNA, 120 nt
Filed under: uncultured bacterium
Lineage: Bacteria
Description: partial 16S ribosomal RNA
Rfam family: Bacterial small subunit ribosomal RNA
Source: RNAcentral
AACGAACGCUGGCGGCAGGCCUAACACAUGCAAGUCGAACGAGAAGCUGGCUUCGGUCAGUGGAGAGUGGCGCACGGGUGAGUAACGCGUGGGAAUUUGCCUUUCGGUACGGGAUAACGU